GAUCAUGGCUCAGGAUGAACGCUGGCGGCGUGCUUAACACAUGCAAGUCGAACGGGAAAUACUUUAUUGAAACUUCGGUCGAUUUAAUUUAUUUCUAGUGGCGGACGGGUGAGUAACGCGUGGGUAACCUGCCUUAUACUGGGGGAUAACAGCCAGAAAUGACUGCUAAUACCGCAUAAGCGCACAGAACCGCAUGGUUCCGUGUGAAAAACUACGGUGGUAUAAGAUGGACCCGCGUUGGAUUAGCUAGUUGG
This 254-nucleotide ribosomal RNA is filed under the name uncultured bacterium. Its description in RNAcentral is "partial 16S ribosomal RNA". It matches the Rfam family "Bacterial small subunit ribosomal RNA", at positions 15 to 252 of the family's 1533-position model. The record is from RNAcentral.